RNA transcript from Leopardus geoffroyi (Geoffroy's cat), 3532 nucleotides. It is a transcript of the gene named limb development membrane protein 1, with no coding region annotated. Lineage: Eukaryota; Metazoa; Chordata; Mammalia; Carnivora; Felidae. The record is from RefSeq and is a predicted model, not a curated record. The transcript is spliced from 17 exons.
CCCACCCCGCACCCGCCCUCUGCAGCCGGAGCGGCUUCGCCUGAGGCGGCGGCUGAGGCGGCCGAAGCGUCGCCGGGGGUCGUGGUCGCCGGCCCUGCGGCGGCCCGCUGUCAGUCUGCUCCCGUCCCGGGCCGGCGGGCGAUGGUGCGGCGGAGCGCGCGGACGCGGGCGGCGCGGCGGCGGGCAUGAGGGAGGAUGGAAGGGCAAGAUGAGGUGUCGGCGCGGGAGCAGCACUUCCACAGCCAAGUGCGGGAGUCCACGAUAUGUUUCCUUCUUUUUGCCGUUCUCUACGUUGUUUCCUACUUCAUCAUUACGAGAUACAAGAGAAAAUCAGAUGAACAAGAAGAUGAAGACGCCAUAGUCAACAGGAUUUCGUUGUGUUUGAGCACGUUCACGCUGGCGGUGUCGGCCGGGGCGGUUUUGCUUUUACCCUUCUCCAUAAUCAGCAACGAGAUCCUGCUCUCCUUUCCUCACAACUACUACAUUCAGUGGCUGAAUGGCUCCCUGAUUCAUGGUCUGUGGAAUCUUGCUUCCCUCUUUUCCAACCUCUGUUUAUUUGUGCUGAUGCCCUUUGCCUUUUUCUUCCUGGAAUCAGAGGGUUUUGCUGGCCUGAAAAAGGGAAUCCGAGCCCGAAUUUUAGAGACUCUGGUCAUGCUUAUUCUUCUCGCGUUGCUUAUUCUUGGGAUAGUGUGGGUCGCCUCCGCGCUCAUUGACAAUGACGCUGCCAGCAUGGAGUCUUUGUAUGAUCUCUGGGAGUUCUACCUACCCUAUUUAUAUUCCUGUAUAUCUUUGAUGGGAUGUUUGUUACUUCUCUUGUGCACCCCCGUCGGCCUCUCCCGCAUGUUCACAGUGAUGGGGCAGUUGCUGGUGAAGCCAACGAUUCUUGAAGACCUGGAUGAACAAAUUUAUAUUAUUACCCUGGAAGAGGAAGCACUCCAGAGACGACUAAAUGGACUGUCUUCAUCAGUGGAAUGCAAUAUAACGGAGUUGGAACAAGAACUUGAAAAUGUGAAGACCCUUAAGACAAAAUUAGAGAGGCGAAAAAAAGCUUCAGCAUGGGAAAGAAAUUUGGUGUAUCCCGCUGUUAUGGUUCUCCUUCUUAUUGAAACAUUCAUCUCGGUCCUCCUGGUGGCCUGUAAUAUUCUUUGCCUGUUGGUUGAUGAAACAGCCAUGCCAAAGGGAACAAGGGGCCCUGGGAUAGGAAAUGCUUCUCUGUCUGCUUUCGGUUUUGUGGGAGCUGCACUUGAGAUCAUUUUGAUUUUCUAUCUUAUGGUGUCCUCUGUCGUCGGUUUCUAUAGCCUCCGGUUUUUCGGAAACUUUAUUCCCAAGAAGGAUGACACAACUAUGACAAAGAUCAUUGGGAAUUGUGUGUCCAUCUUGGUCUUGAGCUCUGCCCUGCCUGUGAUGUCAAGAACACUGGCCCCUGUUCAGAGGUCUUCAGAUCUUGCGUGCGUAUGUGGACAUAGCUGGUGCCUCCGCGGGAGUUGUGAAGUCCUCACCUGGGGUUACCUGGAUCCUAACUCUUUGGUCAGCGUUCUUGUUUCUUCUGUUGACUCCUGACUUCUGUGUGCUGUCCAGUGGGAAUUAAAAGAGGAAAAGGUUUCGAGAUCAUUUCCUGUACUGGAACUCAGUCGUCUGGCUGCAUAAGCUUCACUUAUCAGACACGUCAAGGGAUUCAGAAACAUCAAAGCCGUCUGCAAACGGGCAUCACAAAGCACUGUGAGAACGCGCAGCGCUCUGCCACUGACCCGGGAGCCCCCGGCUCCCGACCGCCCCGUCGGUCAGAAAUGACUCGCCCCCGGCGGUGCCUCCCGGUGAGCGCCCGGGCCUGGCGGCGCCACCGCUUUCACAGUCUCCUAAGAACUCGGCCGCCACAGGCCACGUGUCCGUUUCACUCCGUGCGGACGCCCUACUCGCCGGCCAGACAGGCUCCUCGGGGCGGCACGUUCUUCUGUGGACGCGGGUGCUGGCGUCGGUUGGUACAGUGACCCAGACGAGCAUGUUUUAAGGCCAACUCCGGGGCUUUCUAAGAAUUCAGUUAAAUCCCAUGAUAUACUUUAUUCAAGACGGAGAAGGCCGCGAGGAAGGCAUCCUUGGUGCUUGGCUGUGAAGUGAAGGCCCUGCAGACACGCAGGCUUACGGCUGCCCCCGUUGCGGAGGCGCAUGGGAACGGCAGCGCUUGCAAAUGAGAUUUCUCCCCUCCUUAGGGAAAAGGACAAAAGCCUAGUUCCGGUUUUUGUUUCAGGGCGAUAGCGAUUGGACUUUGAGUCCAGGGAGAAAGGCGAAAUUCUUUUAAAACCCGAUCCGUGGGAGAACACGUGGGAACGCCUGCCACCGCGCGGUGUAGUCGGCUCGGCCGGAAGUAGUACGUGGUCACCGUUCUCCGACGUCUCACGUGUAUGCGACUCAGUAUUACCUCUCGUAACAUAGUUGCCGGUGUUGAAUACACUUGUAACUUAGAUUUUGCCUUAUAGGCUAUGUGUACACUCGGUUUUCUAAAGCAUUUCUUCAGAUAUCUCUCAGCUCCUUGUUCUCCUGUGUCCCAUUAUGAAACUACAAAUCAUCUGUGGUAGAAACCCCGCUGUCACCACACUCUUCAGGCUUUGGUUCCUUUCGUAUAUGCCGAUUUAAACCUCAGAUUUAUAAAAGUUACCAGGUUACCACCCAGGUGCACAGUAUCAGCGUUCAUGAUGUAAGACUAGCUCUACGAUGUAUCGUGAUCAGAUAAUCACUCAGUUACUGAAUUGUAAAUAAUUCUUGGGAUGGCUUCUUGACUUUAAGUCCACUGAAUAAAACUAUAAAAUUGUACUCUGUGUUACCAGGCACUAGGAUAGGGUACUGAAAAUUGUGCAUGCAGACACGUGACACGAGCCCCUUUGCACACAAUUCAUAGUUACGCAGUCUCCGGAAACACUUACGUUUACAUGCACUAUGUGUAUGGCAAUAGAUUGUCUGUGUUCAGACAAAAGUAAAAGAACAGUUUUCUCGAGUUGUUUUUUGGAGAAAUUUAUGAAAAUCCGGCUGUAUAUAUUUGACAUAAAAAAUUUCCAUUUGGAGCCAAAAUAAUAAGAAAAAUUAAUCUGUAUAUUCCUCAGUUCCAUUGAGUAUACCUCUCCUUUAUUUAUACCUCUGCAUUUCCUUCUGAGCUUCUCUGCUUGUUAAGAUGCAGCUUCGUUGUAAAAUAAAAGACCAUUUUGUGAUUCUAAACAACACUCAGUAAAUACCACCAGUGUAGCAUUGGGAAUCUCUCAGCAUGAGACCUGCAUAGUGAGCAAAUGAACAGAAGAUGGCUAUUUCCUAAUUUCACUGAUAAUUACACCUAUUUAAACAUUAAUUGCAAGCUUUGAUUUUUACUGAAACUUGCUUGCAAUCCAUAUUUUGAACAGACCUGGUCAAGGAAAGAAGAGAAAAGAAAGUUCUUUCAGUAAAAGAACAUCACUUGUAACUUAACAUCCAUGGGAAGUUCCUGGGUGUUUGUAAGAUGUCUGAGAAUUUCUGAGUCAAAUAUUAAACUUUUCAAUGUCUGUAUCAA